AUGUGCCGGGGAGGACACCUGCGCCGAGGGAACACCUGCGCCGAGGACACUCGCACGAGCGGGAUACUCCACGGGACCCGGAACGGCCUCCCUGCCCUCCAGGUCCCGGUCCGGCCUCCCCCUACGCGCCCCCGCGGAAGCCACAGACAGGGAGAGCAAGGAUGAAACACGGCGACCACCGCCUACGGACCCGCGGGCCGUCAGAACCUGCCGCCGACUCACCCUCUAAGCCUACGCCGCCGCCGCCGCCUCCGGAGUCCCGGAAGUGGACAGCGAACGGGUACUUCCGCUUCCGGCAACGGCGCCGGAAGCAGGGGUCCGGCCCUCCGGGCGGGGCGAGCACCCGCCUCUUGGCCGAGCGACUUCAGCUCGGGGACCUGCCCCGUGGCCGCUCCCCAGCAGGACAUGGUAACUGCCGGGAUGGGGGUCUCCUUGCCCGUCCCAGCCCCCCCAACUCAGGCCCUCUCGCUGCCUCCGGCGACCCCCGCGUGCGCCCUUCCCCAGGGCCGGCGCAGUCUUGGAAGCCUCCGCCCAGCGUGGCUGCCUGCGUUUUCUCUCCGUUCCCUUCCCGACCUCCGGAGAGAAGACAGCCCCAGAGCCGCUGUGGCUCCGUCCUCUGCUGACGCCUCAUGUCUUUAUGUUGGCCUUGCCGUCCGCACUGCAGUGUGGCAGGGGCGUCCCGCCUUUGCCUCGAACUGAGGUGGGCGCCGAGCAUUCAGUAAACGAGGAAACGAAAGCGGGGAAAGUUGGGAACCAAGCGUCUGUCAUGCCUGCCACCAGCAGACAAGCGGCUUUGGGUACCCCCUGGACCCAAACACGAACUCAGCCCCUCCAGGAGCGCAGUCAUCGGCACCCAUGUGGGAACAGUGCCCUGGGGUGGGUGGCCACGGGAUGUUUCUGGGGCCCCUCAGAGGGCCAGCGGCGCGGUCUUGGAGAAUGAAUGUGUGUCCCUGGGCCGCUGCUGCAGAGGGUCGGUCCUGAGUCGCUGCUUGGAAGAGAGGCCCAUGGCCAGCACUUGGCUUCACCAGGAGGAAAAAGCACGUGCUAAACCACCAGCAUUCGGGGUUUGUCUGUUUGAUAAACGAUGCACCAACUAACAAGAAAGUCUUUCAUAGGUGGCAGCUGCUAGGUUGUGCCCCGGCCCCUCCUGAAAAUCGGCCACACAAAAGGAAGGGUCUGGAAGGUGGCAGAGAAGCCAGCAGAGACAAGGAAAGUGGCAGCAGCAUGGGGCGGGGUCACACAGGAUGAAGAUGGAGCUGUGGGAGCCCCCGCUGCCACUCCCACAAGGAGCCCUGCCCCGUGCCCUGCUGAUGCUAACACCCUGGCUCUGUUAUUUCAGUUUUUCCUUGUAAUUUCUGAAAAUCUAGCAAGUUGAGCAAUGAAAAAAAUUUUUUAAAAAAAGUUAAAAUUAUGUUAGAAAUUAUGACUAAUUUUGAAACUAAUGAAGGAAAAAAAAAUGGCCAAAAUUACCAAAGCUUUUAGGACUCUUCAAAAUAUAGUAACAUUGAGUAUUAUGAACUAAAGACUCAUACUAUU
This is a long non-coding RNA of Chlorocebus sabaeus (green monkey), 1536 nucleotides long. RefSeq lists it as uncharacterized. The record is from RefSeq and is a predicted model, not a curated record. Lineage: Eukaryota; Metazoa; Chordata; Mammalia; Primates; Cercopithecidae.